GGGUUUGAUCCUGGCUCAGGAUGAACGCUGGCGGCGUGCUUAACACAUGCAAGUCGAACGAACCUUCGGGUUAGUGGCGGACGGGUGAGUAACGCGUGGGAAUCUGCCCUCAGGAGGGGGAUAACGGUUGGAAACGGCCGCUAAUACCCCAUAUGCCGAGAGGUGAAAUGAAUUUCGCCUGAGGAUGAGCCCGCGUCUGAAUAGCUAGUUGGUGAGGUAAGAGCUCACCAAGGCAUCGAACAGUAGCUGGUCUGAGAGGAUGAUCAGCCACACUGGGACUGAGACACGGCCCAGACUCCUACGGGAGGCAGCAGUGGGGAAUUUUCCGCAAUGGGCGAAAGCCUGACGGAGCAACGCCGCGUGAGGGAUGAAGGCCUCUGGGCUGUAAACCUCUUUUAUCAAGGAAGAAGAUCUGACGGUACUUGAUGAAUAAGCCACGGCUAAUUCCGUGCCAGCAGCCGCGGUAAUACGGGAGUGGCAAGCGUUAUCCGGAAUUAUUGGGCGUAAGGCGUCCGCAGGCGGCCCUACAAGUCUGCUGUUAAAAAGUGGAGCUUGACUCCAUCAUGGCAGUGGAAACUGUUGGGCUUGAGUGUGGUAGGGGCAGAGGGAAUUCCCGGUGUAGCGGUGAAAUGCGUAGAUAUCGGGAAGAACACCAGUGGCGAAGGCGCUCUGCUGGGCCAUCACUGACGCUCAUGGACGAAUGCCAGGGGAGCGAAAGGGAUUAGAUACCCCUGUAGUUCUGGCCGUAAACGAUGAACACUAGGUGUCGGGGGAAUCGACCCCUCCGGUGUCGUAGCCAACGCGUUAAGUGUUCCGCCUGGGGAGUACGCACGCAAGUGUGAAACUCAAAGGAAUUGACGGGGGCCCGCACAAGCGGUGGAGUAUGUGGUUAAAUUCGAUGCAACGCGAAGAACCUUACCAGGGUUUGACAUCCUGCGAUUCUCUUGGAAACUUGAGAGUGCCUUCGGGAGCGCAGUG
This 978-nucleotide ribosomal RNA is filed under the name uncultured bacterium. RNAcentral describes it as "bacterial SSU rRNA". It matches the Rfam family "Bacterial small subunit ribosomal RNA", at positions 9 to 1033 of the family's 1533-position model. The record is from RNAcentral.